This is a small nucleolar RNA of Diceros bicornis minor, 134 nucleotides long. RefSeq annotates it as small nucleolar RNA SNORA64/SNORA10 family. NCBI's taxonomy places the organism in Eukaryota, Metazoa, Chordata, Mammalia, Perissodactyla, Rhinocerotidae. The record is from RefSeq and is a predicted model, not a curated record. The transcript has a single exon.
ACUCUCUCAGCUCUGCAUGGUUACACUUGUUUUCACACGUGUGGCUUUCGUAAUCGGGAGAGAGAGCAAGGAUCUUCUCGGGACCUCAGAUUGGCCUCAUGGUGGCUUAUCUUUCCUUGAGGGGCGCAACAGGC